RNAcentral lists this ribosomal RNA (166 nucleotides) under uncultured Bacteroidota bacterium. RNAcentral describes it as "uncultured Bacteroidetes bacterium partial 16S ribosomal RNA". It matches the Rfam family "Bacterial small subunit ribosomal RNA", at positions 334 to 496 of the family's 1533-position model. The record is from RNAcentral. Lineage: Bacteria; Pseudomonadati; Bacteroidota.
GACUCCUACGGGAGGCAGCAGUGAGGAAUAUUGGUCAAUGGGUGCAAGCCUGAACCAGCCAUACCCGCGUGAAGGACGACUGCCCUAUGGGUUGUAAACUUUCUUUUGUAUAGGGAUAAACCUACCCUCGUGAGGGUAGCGAAGGUACUAUACGAAUAAGCACGGC